CAGCAGCCGCGGGAAUACGUAGGUGGCAAGCGUUGUCCGGAAUUAUUGGGCGUAAAGGGGUCGCAGGCGGUUUCUUAAGUCUGAUGUGAAAGCCCCCGGCUCAACCGGGGAGGGUCAUUGGAAACUGGGAAACUUGAGUGCAGAAGAGGAGAGUGGAAUUCCACGUGUAGCGGUGAAAUGCGUAGAGAUGUGGAGGAACACCAGUGGCGAAGGCGACUCUCUGGUCUGUAACUGACGCUGAGGAGCGAAAGCGUGGGGAGCGAACAGGAUUAGAUACCCGGUAGUCCCUGUCUCUUAUACA
Molecule: ribosomal RNA, 301 nt
Filed under: uncultured bacterium
Lineage: Bacteria
Description: partial 16S ribosomal RNA
Rfam family: Bacterial small subunit ribosomal RNA
Source: RNAcentral